AGUGAACGCUGGCGGUAGGCCUAACACAUGCAAGUCGAACGGCAGCACAGUAAGAGCUUGCUCUUACGGGUGGCGAGUGGCGGACGGGUGAGGAAUACAUCGGAAUCUACUUUUUCGUGGGGGAUAACGUAGGGAAACUUACGCUAAUACCGCAUACGACCUACGGGUGAAAGCAGGGGAUCUUCGGACCUUGCGCGAUUGAAUGAGCCGAUGUCGGAUUAGCUAGUUGGCGGGGUAAAGGCCCACCAAGGCGACGAUCCGUAGCUGGUCUGAGAGGAUGAUCAGCCACACUGGGACUGAGACACGGUCCAGACUCCUACGGGAGGCAGCAGUGGGGAAUAUUGGACAAUGGGCGCAAGCCUGAACCAGCCAUACCGCGUGGGUGAAGAAGGCCUUCGGGUUGUAAAGCCCUUUUGUUGGGAAAGAAAAGCAGCAGGUUAAUACCCCGCUGUUCUGACGGUACCCAAAGAAUAAGCACCGGCUAACUUCGUGC
RNAcentral lists this ribosomal RNA (493 nucleotides) under uncultured bacterium. Its description in RNAcentral is "partial 16S ribosomal RNA". It matches the Rfam family "Bacterial small subunit ribosomal RNA", at positions 29 to 508 of the family's 1533-position model. The record is from RNAcentral.